CACCUGUUUAUCAAAAACAUGGUUUUUUGAUUAUAAUUUAAAAUUUGAUCUGCUCAAUGAUUAAAUUAAAUAGCUGCAGUAUUUUAACUGUACAAAGGUAGCAUAAUCAUUUGUCUUUUUAUUAAAGUCUGGAAUGAAUGAUUUAAUGAAAAAAUUUCUGUCUCAAUUUAAUUAAUAAAAUUUUAUUUUAAGUUAAAAUUCUUAAAAUUUAUUUAAAGACGAGAAGACCCUAUAGAAUUUUAUAAAAUUUUUUAUUUUUAUUUUAUAAAUUAAUAUAAUUAAAUUUAAUUUUAUUUUAUUGGGGUAAUAAAAAAAUUUAAAUAAAUUUUUUUGAUUAAAUUCAUUUAUAAAUGUCAAUAAAUAAUUUAUCCAAAAUUUUUGAAAUAAAAAUUAAUUACCUUAGGGAUAACAGCGUUAUUUUUUUAGAAAGUUCUUAUUGAUAAAAAAGUUUGCGACCUCGAUGUUGAAUUAAGAUAAAAUUUUAAUGUAGAAAUUAAAAAUUUUAAGUCUGUUCGACUUUUAAAAUCUUACAUGAUCUGAUUCCAAAUCGAA
This 552-nucleotide ribosomal RNA is filed under the name Aphelinus albipodus. Its description in RNAcentral is "partial large subunit ribosomal RNA". The stretch from base 405 to 552 matches the Rfam family "Archaeal large subunit ribosomal RNA", at positions 2542 to 2689 of the family's 2987-position model. Lineage: Eukaryota; Metazoa; Arthropoda; Insecta; Hymenoptera; Aphelinidae. The record is from RNAcentral.